GGGCUGGCUUUAGCCCAGCAGUUCCUUCAAGUCUGGCUUCCCAACCGCCCGGGCUGAUUAGACUGGUGGUUCCAGACCCGCGGGUGCUCUCCAGUCCUUUU
Cavia porcellus (domestic guinea pig) is the source of this 101-nucleotide non-coding RNA. It matches the Rfam family "Vault RNA". Rfam says of the family: This family of RNAs are found as part of the enigmatic vault ribonucleoprotein complex. The record is from Rfam. Lineage: Eukaryota; Metazoa; Chordata; Mammalia; Rodentia; Caviidae.